Long non-coding RNA from Athalia rosae (coleseed sawfly), 745 nucleotides. RefSeq lists it as uncharacterized. NCBI's taxonomy places the organism in Eukaryota, Metazoa, Arthropoda, Insecta, Hymenoptera, Athaliidae. The record is from RefSeq and is a predicted model, not a curated record. The transcript has 2 exons.
ACACCACUACAUAGCGUCCGUUGCCCCUCCGGAGGCGGUCGUCGUGGUUUUCCGUCCUACACGCGCGCUCCCGCAGUGGGUCAUUGCUCUACGCUUUUUGUUGAAUAAUAUUAUUACAGCCAGAGAUAUAAGUGUCAACGGAUUGUCAGCUGAAGCAAAUUGCAGAUGACAGGUGCCACAUUUCACGGCCGAGUAAUCCAGACGACGAAAGGACUCCCCUUCGGUUUUACACAAAACUAUCUUGUGCUCCGAUUGUGAGACUUGGAAUCUGACUGCAGUGGUAAAAACGUACAGAGAAAAUACGCUCGUUGCGACAGACGUUAUUUUUGGCCGCGACGAUGGAUACGUCACGUACCGAAUGAUUAUUCUCGCGUUUAUAUUAGUUUUAUUUUCUAAGGGCCCAGCUGAAAAGUUAUAGCUGAUAAAAAUGUAUAUAUGGUAUUUAAACUGUCAAGACGGUGAUACCAAAAGGUACAACCAUCGUGAGCGCGGCAAUCGAACGUUGACGCGCGUAUGGAGUUUGUUUGUUACCCCGUCGAGGACUUCCAAAGAAACUUCGCUGUUUCUUUUGGGAUUUAUGCGCCAGUCAUGGCGUCGUCUGGUUCGUGUCAAUCGACAGGUUUCGAUCGUGAGACCAUACCCUCGCCUUCCUGGCCUUCCUCAUGGUUCAGACGCUUACAAUCGGCUACAAAGAACUGGGGAUGGUCAUAAAAAAAAAAAAAAAAAAAAAAAAACGAAAAAUAUU